RNAcentral lists this ribosomal RNA (253 nucleotides) under uncultured bacterium. RNAcentral describes it as "partial 16S ribosomal RNA". It matches the Rfam family "Bacterial small subunit ribosomal RNA", at positions 524 to 776 of the family's 1533-position model. The record is from RNAcentral.
UACGUAGGGGGCAAGCGUUGUCCGGAAUUAUUGGGCGUAAAGAGCGUGUAGGCGGUCAGAUAAGUCCGCUGUGAAAUCUCGAGGCUCAACUUCGAGCUGUCGGUGGAAACUAUCUGGCUAGAGUCCGGAAGAGGAGAAUGGAAUUCCUGGUGUAGCGGUGAAAUGCGCAGAUAUCAGGAAGAACACCCGUGGCGAAGGCGGUUCUCUGGGACGGUACUGACGCUGAGACGCGAAAGCGUGGGGAGCGAACAGG